Molecule: small RNA, 132 nt
Filed under: Klebsiella quasipneumoniae
Lineage: Bacteria; Pseudomonadati; Pseudomonadota; Gammaproteobacteria; Enterobacterales; Enterobacteriaceae
Description: RtT sRNA
Source: RNAcentral
UAUUCUGCCCYACGGGGAAGGAUGAGAAGCUUCGACUAAGGUUCGACUCGAGCGUAGCGAGAGAACGUUGCCGMAGGCAACGGCCCGAAGGGCGAGGCGCUUUAGCGCCGAGUMAUCCUUCCCCCACCGCUG